RNAcentral lists this ribosomal RNA (464 nucleotides) under uncultured bacterium. RNAcentral's name for it is "bacterial SSU rRNA". It matches the Rfam family "Bacterial small subunit ribosomal RNA", at positions 917 to 1382 of the family's 1533-position model. The record is from RNAcentral.
GGGCCCGCACAAGCGGUGGAUCAUGUGGUUUAAUUCGAAGCAACGCGCAGAACCUUACCUGGGUUUGACAUCCCCUGACAUCUGUAGAAAUACAGACUCUAGCUUGCUAGCAGGGAGACAGGUGCUGCAUGGCUGUCGUCAGCUCGUGUGGUGACAUGUUGGGUUAAGUCUCGCAACGAGCGCAACCCUUGUCUUUAGUUGCCAGCAUUAAGUUGGGCACUCUAAAGAGACUGCCGUGGUUAACACGGAGGAAGGUGGGGAUGACGUCAAGUCCUCAUGGCCCUUACAUCCAGGGCUACACACGUGAUACAAUGGGUAGUACAAAGGGCAGCAAAAGGGCAACCUCAAGCAAAUCCCAAAAAGCUACUCUCAGUUCGGAUUGGAGUCUGCAAUUCGACUCCAUGAAGGUGGAAUCGCUAGUAAUCGCGGAUCAGAACGCCGCGGUGAAUACGUUCCCGGGCCUU